Molecule: ribosomal RNA, 468 nt
Filed under: uncultured bacterium
Lineage: Bacteria
Description: partial 16S ribosomal RNA
Rfam family: Bacterial small subunit ribosomal RNA
Source: RNAcentral
GACGAACGCUGGCGGCGUGCUUAACACAUGCAAGUCGAACGGAAAGGCCCUGCUUUUGUGGGGUGCUCGAGUGGCGAACGGGUGAGUAACACGGGAGUAACCUGCCCUUGACUUUGGGAUAACUUCAGGAAACUGGGGCUAAUACCGGAUAGGAGCUCCUGCUGCAUGGUGGGGGUUGGAAAGUUUCGGCGGUUGGGGAUGGACUCGCGGCUUAUCAGCUGGUUGGUGGGGUAGUGGCUUACCAAGGCUUUGACGGGUAGCCGGCCUGAGAGGGUGACCGGCCACAUUGGGACUGAGAUACGGCCCAGACUCCUACGGGAGGCAGCAGGGGGGAAUAUUGCACAAUGGGCGGAAGCCUGAUGAAGCAACGCCGCGUGCGGGAUGACGGCCUUCGGGUUGUAAACCGCUUUCGCCUGUGACGAAGCGUGAGUGACGGUAAUGGGUAAAGAAGCACCGGCUAACUACGUG